GACGAACGCUGGCGGCGUGCUUAACACAUGCAAGUCGAACGGAAAGGCCCUGCUUUUGUGGGGUGCUCGAGUGGCGAACGGGUGAGUAACACGUGAGUAACCUGCCCUUGACUUUGGGAUAACUUCAGGAAACUGGGGCUAAUACCGGAUAGGAGCUCCUGCUGCAUGGUGGGGGUUGGAAAGUUUCGGCGGUUGGGGAUGGACUCGCGGCUUAUCAGCUUGUUGGUGGGGUAGUGGCUUACCAAGGCUUUGACGGGUAGCCGGCCUGAGAGGGUGACCGGGGACAGGGGGACGGAGAGACGGGCGAGAGGGCGACGGGAGGCAGCAGGGGGGAAUAGUGAAGAAGGGGCGGAAGCCUGAUGCAGCAACGCCGCGUGCGGGAUGACGGCGGUCGGGGGGUAAAGCGCGUGCGCGGGUGAGGAAGGGGGAGUGACGGGAAUGGGUAAAGAAGCACCGGCUAACUAGGGG
RNAcentral lists this ribosomal RNA (468 nucleotides) under uncultured bacterium. Its description in RNAcentral is "partial 16S ribosomal RNA". It matches the Rfam family "Bacterial small subunit ribosomal RNA", at positions 28 to 507 of the family's 1533-position model. The record is from RNAcentral.